UAAAAUUUAUAUAAUUAGGUAAUAAAGAGAUUCCGAAACCUAAAGAAUUUGGCGGUAUUUUAAAUAAUUGGAGGAACCUGUUAUUUAAUUGACACUCCACAACAUAUCUUUCCUAAAUUUUAUUUGUAUAUCGUCGUUUUGAUAAUAUUUAAAAAUUAUAAUCAAUCUUAAUAAAUUUUUUAAUUCAGAUCAAGGUGCAGUAUAUUUAGGUUAUAAUGGGUUACAAUAUAAAAAUAUAUUACAGAAGUUAAACUGAAAUUAUUCUAAAGGUGGAUUCAAAAGUAAUAUUAAAUUAAAAUGUUAAAUUGAUUAAUAACUUAAAAUAUGC
RNAcentral lists this ribosomal RNA (328 nucleotides) under Konetontli acapulco. RNAcentral describes it as "partial 12S ribosomal RNA". The record is from RNAcentral. Lineage: Eukaryota; Metazoa; Arthropoda; Arachnida; Scorpiones; Vaejovidae.